GAUGAACGCACAAGACGUGCCUAACACAUGCAAAUCGAAUGAGAACAAUUUAAUUAUUGUUUUCAUGGUGAACGGGUGAGUAACACAUAAGAAUCAGCUUUUAGAUAAGGCAUAAAAGAGUAAUAUCUUGGUAAUUCCUUAUAUGCGCAACAGUGCUUAAAAAGGGGAGUCCCGUCUAAAAACGAGCUUAUGCCUGAUUGCUAGUUGGCGAGUUAAAAGCUCACCAAGGCGAAGAUCAGUAGCUGGCCUGAGAGGGCGGCCAGCCACAUUGGGACUGAGA
RNAcentral lists this ribosomal RNA (280 nucleotides) under Apicomplexa sp. Its description in RNAcentral is "partial small subunit ribosomal RNA". It matches the Rfam family "Bacterial small subunit ribosomal RNA", at positions 28 to 324 of the family's 1533-position model. Lineage: Eukaryota; Apicomplexa. The record is from RNAcentral.